UGUGUCGAGGACUCUUCAACUACCCCAGCAGACUGACCGACAGCGCAGAGGACUCUGCGUCGGACCGCUCGGUGUCAGUGCAGCAGUAUCUGCAGGGUCUGAUCCAGAGCGCCUCCAGCCGCUGUGUGAAGGCCGACGCUCUGCAGAAGAUCUGGCCGCUGCUGUUCAGCGAGAUCAUCAGAGACUCGGUGCUGGACAUGAGGGACACACACACAUACAGACACAACAGCCUGCAGAGACUCACACACACACACUAA
Danio rerio (zebrafish) is the source of this 257-nucleotide non-coding RNA. NCBI's taxonomy places the organism in Eukaryota, Metazoa, Chordata, Actinopteri, Cypriniformes, Danionidae. The record is from RefSeq and is a predicted model, not a curated record.